UGGUGGAGUGAUUUGUCUGGUUAAUUCCGAUAACGGGCGAGACCUCAACUAGUUGAUUACUGAUUCGUGGUUUUCACGAGCUCAGCAUUAACUGGACAAUGAAUUAUUAGUUCGAGGAAGUUUGAGGCUACAACA
This 135-nucleotide ribosomal RNA is filed under the name uncultured eukaryote. RNAcentral's name for it is "partial 18S ribosomal RNA". It matches the Rfam family "Eukaryotic small subunit ribosomal RNA", at positions 1299 to 1458 of the family's 1831-position model. The record is from RNAcentral.